AGCAGCCGCGGUAAUUCCAGCUCCAAUAGCGUAUAUUAAAGUUGUUGCAGUUAAAAAGCUCGUAGUUGAAUUUCGGGAUUGACGUGAUGGUCGUGCCUUACGGGGUAUGAACUGUUGCUGUUGAUUUCUCACCUUCUGGAGAAACUUGAUGUCCUUAAUUGGGUGUCUUGCGGAUCCAGGACCUUUACCUUGAAAAAAUUUAGAGUGUUUAAAGCAGGCAUUUUUGCUCGAAUACAUUAGCAUGGAAUAAUAGAAUAGGACGGCAUGGUUCUAUUUUGUUGGUUUCUAGGACCACCGUAAUGAUUAAUAGGGAUAGUUGGGGGCAUUAGUAUUCAAUUGUCAGAGGUGAAAUUCUUGGAUUUAUUGAAGACUAACUACUGCGAAAGCAUUUGCCAAGGAUGUUCUCAUUAAUCAAGAACGAAAGUUAGGGGAUCGAAGACGAUCAGAUACCGUCGUAGUCUUAACCAUAAACUAUGCCGACUAGGAAUCAGACGAUGUUAAUUUUUUUAAUGACUCG
This 517-nucleotide unclassified non-coding RNA is filed under the name uncultured Entrophospora. RNAcentral's name for it is "SSU rRNA". It matches the Rfam family "Eukaryotic small subunit ribosomal RNA", at positions 569 to 1078 of the family's 1831-position model. Lineage: Eukaryota; Fungi; Glomeromycota; Glomeromycetes; Entrophosporales; Entrophosporaceae. The record is from RNAcentral.